AUUCGUCAGCGACCUCGGAACAUCCGAGCCUUUCCUAGAAUGAUGAAGUAAAGAGCCAUCUGCUCCAUCAGGUAUCCCAAUCGAGCUUCAGCCGAUGGAUCCAAACUCUCUGACAAGUCACGACAAGAGCCACCCUCCUGUCCCACUCUCUGCAAUGGAUUUCAUGCAGCUCCACCACUCUCUGGCAAGUCCCGACAACGGACACCACUCCACUCUCCGCAACAAGCUCCACGUGGCCCUGAACGACCCCUGACGCCACUACUUUCUGUAACAAACUCCAUGCGGCUCUGAGCGGUUCACUACCAGAUGGUUACAGACGUCACUGUCGGUCAGUUACACUCUCCGUCUAUAAAUAAGGACCCCC
RNAcentral lists this long non-coding RNA (364 nucleotides) under Elaeis guineensis (African oil palm). Its description in RNAcentral is "long non-coding RNA (EGUI_LNC023422)". Lineage: Eukaryota; Viridiplantae; Streptophyta; Magnoliopsida; Arecales; Arecaceae. The record is from RNAcentral.